UGCCCUACGGGGGGCAGCAGUGGGGAAUAUUGCACAAUGGGGGAAACCCUGAUGCAGCAACGCCGCGUGAGUGAAGAAGUAUCUCGGUAUGUAAAGCUCUAUCAGCAGGGAAGAAAAUGACGGUACCUGACUAAGAAGCCCCGGCUAACUACGUGCCAGCAGCCGCGGUAAUACGUAGGGGGCAAGCGUUAUCCGGAUUUACUGGGUGUAAAGGGCGUGUAGGCGGGCCUGCAAGUCAGAAGUGAAAUCUGGGGGCUUAACCCCCAAACUGCUUUUGAAACUGUGGGUCUUGAGUGAUGGAGAGG
This 305-nucleotide ribosomal RNA is filed under the name uncultured bacterium. RNAcentral's name for it is "bacterial SSU rRNA". It matches the Rfam family "Bacterial small subunit ribosomal RNA", at positions 335 to 657 of the family's 1533-position model. The record is from RNAcentral.